This 436-nucleotide ribosomal RNA is filed under the name Bacillus cereus. Its description in RNAcentral is "bacterial LSU rRNA". It matches the Rfam family "Bacterial large subunit ribosomal RNA", at positions 2494 to 2925 of the family's 2925-position model. Lineage: Bacteria; Bacillati; Bacillota; Bacilli; Caryophanales; Bacillaceae. The record is from RNAcentral.
AAGAGUCCACAUCGACGGGGAGGUUUGGCACCUCGAUGUCGGCUCAUCGCAUCCUGGGGCUGUAGUCGGUCCCAAGGGUUGGGCUGUUCGCCCAUUAAAGCGGUACGCGAGCUGGGUUCAGAACGUCGUGAGACAGUUCGGUCCCUAUCCGUCGUGGGCGUAGGAAAUUUGAGAGGAGCUGUCCUUAGUACGAGAGGACCGGGAUGGACGCACCGCUGGUGUACCAGUUGUUCUGCCAAGGGCAUAGCUGGGUAGCUAUGUGCGGAAGGGAUAAGUGCUGAAAGCAUCUAAGCAUGAAGCCCCCCUCAAGAUGAGAUUUCCCAUAGCGUAAGCUAGUAAGAUCCCUGAAAGAUGAUCAGGUUGAUAGGUUCGAGGUGGAAGCAUGGUGACAUGUGGAGCUGACGAAUACUAAUAGAUCGAGGACUUAACCAUAUAA